Molecule: ribosomal RNA, 490 nt
Filed under: uncultured bacterium
Lineage: Bacteria
Description: partial 16S ribosomal RNA
Rfam family: Bacterial small subunit ribosomal RNA
Source: RNAcentral
AUUGAACGCUGGCGGCAGGCCUAACACAUGCAAGUCGAACGGUAACAGGAAGCAGCUUGCUGCUUCGCUGACGGGUGGCGUACGGGUUAGCAAUGUCUGUGAAGGGUAGUGGGGGAGGGCGAUAGCUACUGGGAACUGUAGCCAAUAACGCAUAAUGGGAGAAAGCGAAAGAGGUGGAGCUUCGAGGCUCUUACCAUCGCAUGGGCCCAGAUGGGAUUAGCUUGUUGGUGGGGUAACGGCACACCAAGGCGACGAUCCCUAGCUGGUCUGAGAGGAUGACCAGCCACACUGGAACUGAGACACGGUCCAGACUCCUACGGGAGGCAGCAGUGGGGAAUAUUGGACAAUGGGCGCAAGCCUGAUGCAGCCAUGCCGCGUGUAUGAAGAAGGCCUUCGGGUUGUAAAGUACUUUCAGCUGGGAGGAAGGGAGUAAAGUUAAUACCUUUGCUCAUUGACGUUACCCACAGAAGAAGCACCGGCUAACUCCGUG